Long non-coding RNA from Pogona vitticeps (central bearded dragon), 686 nucleotides. The record is from Ensembl. Lineage: Eukaryota; Metazoa; Chordata; Lepidosauria; Squamata; Agamidae.
CUACAUUUCUCCCAGUGAAUCUGAUUGUGAAACCCCACUAUGACCUUGGUGGGAGUAGGGGAAGGAUGAAAGUAGAUUACAUAUUUUCUGCACUCCCACAAUGUUAUACUAAAACUCUAAGUGGUGUGGUGAACAUGAACAGAAAAAUAGAUUAACGUUAGAGUGGGUUUUCCUAGAGUGGGGAAUGGCAUACUUGGGGAGAGGGAGUUUAGAAUGAAAGGUGUGUAGUAUGCAUAACUGCCCUCACUACAUAAGCCCACAUUUUUAUCUGCAUUGCACCCAGACCUCAGAAAAUAGCCAGCAGUCCUGCUAACAGAGAGAUUUUUGUAGUCCCAAAAAGGAACCUUUUUGGCCUUUUGCUUUACCCUAUGAGACUGGCCCUGAUGUAUAAUACGAAGAAUGGAUGUUGAAGCAGCAGCAUGGGAGGAUAGAGGAAGACCAAGUGUUUGGUCUAUGGAUCAUAAUCACUGAAACAAAGACACAGCAUUGUUUCAAUUCCCAAUGUACAGCCCUGGCAAUCAGAUUUAGAAUGAUGACAGAAACACAGUUUCAAAACAUAAGAAGAACCCAACAUCAUGUUAUGUGCAGGUGGGUGUCAUGUUAGCGUGAUAAUAAUUUGUUUCAGUUUUAUUGAAAGAGUCAUUUGUAGAGGGGACUGGGAGGGGGAAAAAUAGGGUUAUACAUGC